This 3465-nucleotide small RNA is filed under the name Histoplasma capsulatum G186AR. Its description in RNAcentral is "hypothetical RNA". The record is from RNAcentral. Lineage: Eukaryota; Fungi; Ascomycota; Eurotiomycetes; Onygenales; Ajellomycetaceae.
CGCCUCAGGUAUUUUAGUUAGAAUGUAUCCACUUUCAUUUCUUUCUUUUUCCGACUCGGGUUUAAGUUCAUUUUAAGAGCUACUAAAAAAAACGAAUAAAAAAUGAAAUAAAAAAAAUCCUGUUAAACUUGCGAAGAGCCCAGGAUAUAUUUUCUGGUGGCUUAUCCAUUUUCACAAAGGGGAAAUGUGGGUUUAACCCAAAAAAAAAAAAAAAAAAAAAAAAAGAGAGAAUAUUGAUAUAGAGAGCUGGAAUCCCUCUAUUGCCUUUUCUACCAACAACUUACAAAGAAUAUCGAAAAGAACUGAUGUCGUCUGAUUGUCGUUCGUUUCAGGACACACAGAUUUGUGACUCGGAUGCUAGCUGUGCCAGUCUGACGGGACGCGUUGUGGAGAAGGAGAACAGGCCAGGAUGUAAUCAUGAUACGGGAGCUGCUUGCGUUUUGCAAAAAUAGCAAUAAUACUAGUACUGAGGCCAGCUAGUUAGCAUGGCUGCUAAUAGCGCUGCUGAUGACGAAAAAAGACGAGAUUUUCUGUUACUGCCGUAUUGAAGGGUAUCCACCUUCGUUGCUUCUUCCCCAGCAAUUUGGAAAAAUGAGCUCUAACCAAGAAAAGGGGCCUGGCGAAGAUCGUUUUCUGUACUCCGUUCCGUGGCCUAGGACGGUCCAUCCAUUCCAAUUUUAUUACCUGCCCUGGUACGGAGUAGCUCUGUUCAUAUUAAUAUGCGGCGGACCUCCCAGCGUCUCGCCUGGGCUUCCUUGGGUUUUAUUUUUUUCCCUUUUCAUUCUUUUUUUCCUUCAUCCCUUCUCCUCCUCUCCAGGCGCUAAGGCCGUUGCUCUCCUCAUCCCUAUCUCUCUCUCUCUCUCUCUCUCUCUCUCUCUCUCCGCCCUUUGGCUGUUAAACCCACAAUCUUUAAUAACGCUGCUUAAAAUCGACUUCCAUUUAUCUUACUGCCUUGCCUCGGUUUGACCUCCUUUUCCUCUUGUCGCACGACCUCUAUCCUGCUAUCAGAACACGGACUCUCUCGUUCAUUUCCGAAGGCGCAAAAUACCACACAUCCGCUAUUGACUCAUUCGAGCGCAUUCUGCCUGUUCUGUCUCUUCCCUCCCUCUAAAAGUUGCCCUAUUUGACCGCUGGAACUUAUUGUGGACAUACGACGUUGGACGACGCUGCCAAUUGUUGCAUUCUUACCUUGCGUGAAUCAAUACCCUUGUUGGACUUGCUCAGCCGUGGUUGUGAUUCCGACAAGCCUCGAUUAGACCUGGGUGGUUAGCUGUGCAUUUUCAUAGCCUUAAUAUAGAUUUUGCCUAUGAUCCUCAGGGACUUGUCAACAACAAACAUGGGAAGAGGAGCAUAUGACACAACUGGCGUGCCUAAGCCGCAACCUCCCCCGAAACCGCGAUGACCUGCCAAUUUGGCAUCAAAGGAUGCGAUGUAUGGAGCCAACGGCAUAACCUACCACCUCCGUGAGUGCCCAAUCAGGGUAUACUCCAGGCGGCAUACGUACAAAUAUUUGAUGGAGAAAAUUCACCUCUAUCUCAUCGUUUCAUCCUCUACCAAGCCUCAUUACCAUCGAACAACCCACCCAUUCCAAAAUGAAAAAAAUCAGAAAAUACUUUCGACUUCUCCGUUCUUCAUGCACAGUACCGGUGCAUGGUCAAGAGCAUACGAUUGACAUUCAACCAAAUAUACUAUUUUUCCUAAUAUUAACCGGAGACCGGUCUGUACCACCACCAUUAUGACGUUUUGAUACCUCUCGCUAUCGUCGAUUCCCCUUAUUUGCGAACUUGUUAGCGUUUUGUACGGCAUACCCGUUUCCGCAAUUUUUCGAUGUACCAGUGGGAAUAAUCUACAUUUCCGCUUCCAUUUCCUUGAGUCCCCAAAAGCGCGACACUAAAUUUUUUUUCCCUUUUAUUUUCCCUAAUUACAUUUUAAUAUUGUUCCCUAUUUUUUAUUUCUUAAUUUCUUUUACUGUUCGUUUUGAUUUUAUGGCGUUACCAAAAAAAUUAUAGACAGGAGACUUUCCUUACGGCUAUGAGAGAUAUACUACAAGACCUAGAUUUUCGACUUCGCGGUCCUAUCGUUCUUUUUGUGUUUCAUACCCCUUUAUAUAUUUUCCUUUUAAGCCUGUUCGUCAUGUUAGUUUUUAAUUGGGCUUUGGUUUUCUCCUUUUAGAUCUAUACCAAUCUCGCGUGUACAACUACUAUUCUAUUAUGGCGAACACAGUUUUUGACUUUUGCAACGCAUUCUUUUUUGCGCUAAUCAAUGACAGCUAGACCUGACAACAUACAUAACCCAAUAAUCAUAGUUAAUUAUCAGGGUGGUGCCAGGGACAUAGUUACGCAUCGUUGGUCAAAAUUCAUGGUGGAUGUAUUUUGACUUUUGGACUUUGCAUGUGAAAGUCUGCGUGCUGUACGUUCCUGGAUUCAAGUUCUGAAGAGGAGCUCUUGAUUCGUUUCUUUGCUCUGUUGACUUGUCCUGUACAUGUGCUAUCUGUUAUUCAUCGGCUGCUUCCCUUACACCCCUUUUAUGGCUUACUCUCCGAGACACGUAUCACUGUUCCUCCCAUUUGCUUGACUUGUCUACUUGGGGUUUUUCCAAACAUCCGCCUAUGGGAGCCGGCCUGCUGUUUUCAUCCUCUUGUGUGCGAGAUGCUUUCCAUAGCACAGCCCAAACCCUAUCUUAUUCCUAUUGGUUUUGACCGGGACCCAUGUCCCUUUUCGUGUUGCUUCUCAAAUUGCAGUCUGUCCAGAUAUCGCUUUCCCGCUUUUGCCGUGGAUAUCUGCCUUGCACUAACUUGCUCCUCUUGAUCCGCCCAUUGAACGGACCACUUCUCGCAGCUAUAGACCAAUCAAUUGUUUUGGUGAUAAACACCCCUACAGCCUCUGUUUUUUCCGUGGGUUUGCCACUGUGCCUUGCCUGACAACAAAUGAGACAGACCUACAACGGCGUGCCUGUUUUUAAACUACGUUUUUCCUUUCUCCUAUUGCAGUCGCUCUACGCUUAGGUCUUGUAUCUUCCAUUUUUAGAGCAACUGCAUAUAUGAGCGAAUCAUAUAUAUCUCGUCCCAAAGCAUGUCGUGUCACCAUCAAAAAGCGGGGAUUCUUCUUUUUUUUUUUAAGUUCCCAUCUUACUGUUUAUUUUAAUUUUGUUCUCCCGGGCAGGAUGUUGUAAAACAAAAGGAAAAAACGCGAUCAUGCAUAUAUGCAGGUAAACGUAUACCUCUCCCCUACGUACCUGGGUCUGGGUAUAUAAUUGCGGUGCUUUUAAGACAUGUGAAAUGAGAGGGAGAGAGAUGUGGGAUGUGGAACAAACGAGGUUUUAUCACGGCUCCCCCUGGAGUUCUCAAACCUCUCAAAUUCUCUCAUGUCUUGAGGGUUUUCUUCUUACUUCAGGGUGGAAGACACAUUUCGAAGUAAGAAAAUUAAAUAAAAUUAAAUAGAAAAGAAAUAAUCAUAAUAAUCAAAG